AUGGGAACGCGAAGAACCUUACCUACUCUUGACAUCCAGAGAACUUAGCAGAGAUGCUUUGGUGCCUUCGGGAACUCUGAGACAGGUGCUGCAUGGCUGUCGUCAGCUCGUGUUGUGAAAUGUUGGGUUAAGUCCCGCAACGAGCGCAACCCUUAUCCUUUGUUGCCAGCGGUCCGGCCGGGAACUCAAAGGAGACUGCCAGUGAUAAACUGGAGGAAGGUGGGGAUGACGUCAAGUCAUCAUGGCCCUUACGAGUAGGGCUACACACGUGCUACAAUGGCGCAUACAAAGAGAAGCGACCUCGCGAGAGCAAGCGGACCUCAUAAAGUGCGUCGUAGUCCGGAUUGGAGUCUGCAACUCGACUCCAUGAAGUCGGAAUCGCUAGUAAUCGUAGAUCAGAAUGCUACGGUGAAUACGUU
RNAcentral lists this ribosomal RNA (419 nucleotides) under uncultured bacterium. RNAcentral describes it as "bacterial SSU rRNA". It matches the Rfam family "Bacterial small subunit ribosomal RNA", at positions 954 to 1372 of the family's 1533-position model. The record is from RNAcentral.